This 2906-nucleotide ribosomal RNA is filed under the name Klebsiella michiganensis. RNAcentral describes it as "23S ribosomal RNA". It matches the Rfam family "Bacterial large subunit ribosomal RNA". Lineage: Bacteria; Pseudomonadati; Pseudomonadota; Gammaproteobacteria; Enterobacterales; Enterobacteriaceae. The record is from RNAcentral.
GGUUAAGCGACUAAGCGUACACGGUGGAUGCCCUGGCAGUCAGAGGCGAUGAAGGACGUGCUAAUCUGCGAAAAGCGUCGGUAAGGUGAUAUGAACCGUUAUAGCCGGCGAUGUCCGAAUGGGGAAACCCAGUGCAAUUCGUUGCACUAUCGUUAACUGAAUACAUAGGUUAACGAGGCGAACCGGGGGAACUGAAACAUCUAAGUACCCCGAGGAAAAGAAAUCAACCGAGAUUCCCCCAGUAGCGGCGAGCGAACGGGGAGCAGCCCGGAGUCUGAAUCAGCUUGUGUGUUAGUGGAAGCGUCUGGAAAGUCGCAGGGUACAGGGUGAUACUCCCGUACACUAAAACACACAGGUUGUGAACUCGAAGAGUAGGGCGGGACACGUGGUAUCCUGUCUGAAUAUGGGGGGACCAUCCUCCAAGGCUAAAUACUCCUGACUGACCGAUAGUGAACCAGUACCGUGAGGGAAAGGCGAAAAGAACCCCGGCGAGGGGAGUGAAAAAGAACCUGAAACCGUGUACGUACAAGCAGUAGGAGCCCACUUGUUGGGUGACUGCGUACCUUUUGUAUAAUGGGUCAGCGACUUAUAUUCUGUAGCAAGGUUAACCGUAUAGGGGAGCCGCAGGGAAACCGAGUCUUAACUGGGCGUUAAGUUGCAGGGUAUAGACCCGAAACCCGGUGAUCUAGCCAUGGGCAGGUUGAAGGUUGGGUAACACUAACUGGAGGACCGAACCGACUAAUGUUGAAAAAUUAGCGGAUGACUUGUGGCUGGGGGUGAAAGGCCAAUCAAACCGGGAGAUAGCUGGUUCUCCCCGAAAGCUAUUUAGGUAGCGCCUCGUGAAUUCAUCUUCGGGGGUAGAGCACUGUUUCGGCUAGGGGGUCAUCCCGACUUACCAACCCGAUGCAAACUACGAAUACCGAAGAAUGUUAUCACGGGAGACACACGGCGGGUGCUAACGUCCGUCGUGAAGAGGGAAACAACCCAGACCGCCAGCUAAGGUCCCAAAGUCAUGGUUAAGUGGGAAACGAUGUGGGAAGGCCCAGACAGCCAGGAUGUUGGCUUAGAAGCAGCCAUCAUUUAAAGAAAGCGUAAUAGCUCACUGGUCGAGUCGGCCUGCGCGGAAGAUGUAACGGGGCUAAACCAUGCACCGAAGCUGCGGCAGCGACACUAUGUGUUGUUGGGUAGGGGAGCGUUCUGUAAGCCGUUGAAGGUGGCCUGUGAGGGUUGCUGGAGGUAUCAGAAGUGCGAAUGCUGACAUAAGUAACGAUAAUGCGGGUGAAAAACCCGCACGCCGGAAGACCAAGGGUUCCUGUCCAACGUUAAUCGGGGCAGGGUGAGUCGACCCCUAAGGCGAGGCCGAAAGGCGUAGUCGAUGGGAAACAGGUUAAUAUUCCUGUACUCGGUGUUACUGCGAAGGGGGGACGGAGAAGGCUAUGUUGGCCGGGCGACGGUUGUCCCGGUUUAAGCAUGUAGGCGGAUGUUCCAGGUAAAUCCGGAACGUCACUAACGCUGAGGUGUGAUGACGAGGCACUACGGUGCUGAAGUGACAAAUGCCCUGCUUCCAGGAAAAGCCUCUAAGCAUCAGGUAACAUCAAAUCGUACCCCAAACCGACACAGGUGGUCAGGUAGAGAAUACCAAGGCGCUUGAGAGAACUCGGGUGAAGGAACUAGGCAAAAUGGUGCCGUAACUUCGGGAGAAGGCACGCUGAUGGUAGGUGAAGCGACUUGCUCGUGGAGCUGAAAUCAGUCGAAGAUACCAGCUGGCUGCAACUGUUUAUUAAAAACACAGCACUGUGCAAACACGAAAGUGGACGUAUACGGUGUGACGCCUGCCCGGUGCCGGAAGGUUAAUUGAUGGGGUUAUCCGUAAGGAGAAGCUCUUGAUCGAAGCCCCGGUAAACGGCGGCCGUAACUAUAACGGUCCUAAGGUAGCGAAAUUCCUUGUCGGGUAAGUUCCGACCUGCACGAAUGGCGUAAUGAUGGCCAGGCUGUCUCCACCCGAGACUCAGUGAAAUUGAACUCGCUGUGAAGAUGCAGUGUACCCGCGGCAAGACGGAAAGACCCCGUGAACCUUUACUAUAGCUUGACACUGAACACUGGUCCUUGAUGUGUAGGAUAGGUGGGAGGCUUUGAAGUGUGGACGCCAGUCUGCAUGGAGCCAUCCUUGAAAUACCACCCUUUAAUGGCUGGUGUUCUAACGUGGGCCCCUAAUCGGGGUUGCGGACAGUGUCUGGUGGGUAGUUUGACUGGGGCGGUCUCCUCCUAAAGAGUAACGGAGGAGCACGAAGGUCAGCUAAUCCUGGUCGGACAUCAGGAGGUUAGUGCAAUGGCAUAAGCUGGCUUGACUGCGAGCGUGACGGCGCGAGCAGGUGCGAAAGCAGGUCAUAGUGAUCCGGUGGUUCUGAAUGGAAGGGCCAUCGCUCAACGGAUAAAAGGUACUCCGGGGAUAACAGGCUGAUACCGCCCAAGAGUUCAUAUCGACGGCGGUGUUUGGCACCUCGAUGUCGGCUCAUCACAUCCUGGGGCUGAAGUAGGUCCCAAGGGUAUGGCUGUUCGCCAUUUAAAGUGGUACGCGAGCUGGGUUUAGAACGUCGUGAGACAGUUCGGUCCCUAUCUGCCGUGGGCGCUGGAGAAUUGAGGGGGGCUGCUCCUAGUACGAGAGGACCGGAGUGGACGCAUCACUGGUGUUCGGGUUGUCAUGCCAAUGGCAUUGCCCGGUAGCUAAAUGCGGAAGAGAUAAGUGCUGAAAGCAUCUAAGCACGAAACUUGCCCCGAGAUGAGUUCUCCCUGACUCCUUGAGAGUCCUGAAGGAACGUUGAAGACGACGACGUUGAUAGGCCGGGUGUGUAAGCGCAGCGAUGCGUUGAGCUAACCGGUACUAAUGAACCGUGAGGCUUAACCUU